Molecule: transfer RNA, 54 nt
Filed under: Fragariocoptes setiger
Lineage: Eukaryota; Metazoa; Arthropoda; Arachnida; Trombidiformes; Phytoptidae
Description: tRNA-Ser
Source: RNAcentral
UAAGGUUUUAUUUCUUAUUUUGAAAAUAAGUUUAGGAUUAAUCCAAAGCCUUAG